GUGGGGAAUCUUGCGCAAUGGCCUAACGGCUGACGCAGCGACGCCGCGUGCGGGAGGACGCCCUUCGGGGUGUAAACCGCUGUUGCCCGGGACGAAUAGCCUCUAUUGAGGGGCCUGACGGUACCGGGUGAGGAAGCACCGGCUAACUCCGUGCCAGCAGCCGCGGUAAUACGGAGGGUGCGAGCGUUGUCCGGAAUCACUGGGCGUAAAGGGCGCGUAGGCGGCUCGCGCAAGCGUGCGGUGAAAGCCCGGGGCUCAACCCCGGGUCGGCCGUGCGGACUGCGGAGCUGGAGCACUGUAGGGGCGGGUGGAAUUCCGGGUGUAGCGGUGGAAUGCGUAGAGAUCCGGAAGAACACCGGUGGCGAAGGCGGCCCGCUGGGCAGUAGCUGACGCUGAGGCGCGACAGCGUGGGGAGCAAACAGGAUUAGAAACCCGUGUAGUCC
RNAcentral lists this ribosomal RNA (443 nucleotides) under uncultured bacterium. RNAcentral's name for it is "bacterial SSU rRNA". It matches the Rfam family "Bacterial small subunit ribosomal RNA", at positions 354 to 796 of the family's 1533-position model. The record is from RNAcentral.